UUCGGUGGCAAUAGCGAAGAGGUCACACCCGUUCCCAUUCCGAACACGGAAGUUAAGCUCUUCAGCGCCGAUGGUACUGCGUGGGUGACUGCGUGGGAGAGUAGGACGCCGCCGGAU
Molecule: ribosomal RNA, 117 nt
Filed under: Nitrospira bacterium SG8_3
Lineage: Bacteria; Pseudomonadati; Nitrospirota; Nitrospiria
Also listed under: 1 other name
Source: RNAcentral